This 2908-nucleotide ribosomal RNA is filed under the name Citrobacter freundii. Its description in RNAcentral is "23S ribosomal RNA". It matches the Rfam family "Bacterial large subunit ribosomal RNA". Lineage: Bacteria; Pseudomonadati; Pseudomonadota; Gammaproteobacteria; Enterobacterales; Enterobacteriaceae. The record is from RNAcentral.
GGUUAAGCGACUAAGCGUACACGGUGGAUGCCCUGGCAGUCAGAGGCGAUGAAGGACGUGCUAAUCUGCGAUAAGCGUCGGUAAGGUGAUAUGAACCGUUAUAACCGGCGAUUUCCGAAUGGGGAAACCCAGUGUGAUUCGUCACACUAUCAUUACGUGAAUACAUAGCGUAAUGAAGCGAACCGGGGGAACUGAAACAUCUAAGUACCCCGAGGAAAAGAAAUCAACCGAGAUUCCCCCAGUAGCGGCGAGCGAACGGGGAGCAGCCCAGAGUCUGAAUCAGCUUGUGUGUUAGUGGAACGGUCUGGAAAGUCCGACGGUACAGGGUGAUAGUCCCGUACACCAAAAUGCACAGGUUGUGAACUCGAAGAGUAGGGCGGGACACGUGGUAUCCUGUCUGAAUAUGGGGGGACCAUCCUCCAAGGCUAAAUACUCCUGACUGACCGAUAGUGAACCAGUACCGUGAGGGAAAGGCGAAAAGAACCCCGGCGAGGGGAGUGAAAAAGAACCUGAAACCGUGUACGUACAAGCAGUGGGAGCACCCUUUGGGGUGUGACUGCGUACCUUUUGUAUAAUGGGUCAGCGACUUAUAUUCUGUAGCAAGGUUAACCGUAUAGGGGAGCCGAAGGGAAACCGAGUCUUAACUGGGCGUUAAGUUGCAGGGUAUAGACCCGAAACCCGGUGAUCUAGCCAUGGGCAGGUUGAAGGUUGGGUAACACUAACUGGAGGACCGAACCGACUAAUGUUGAAAAAUUAGCGGAUGACUUGUGGCUGGGGGUGAAAGGCCAAUCAAACCGGGAGAUAGCUGGUUCUCCCCGAAAGCUAUUUAGGUAGCGCCUCGUGAACUCAUCUUCGGGGGUAGAGCACUGUUUCGGCUAGGGGGUCAUCCCGACUUACCAACCCGAUGCAAACUGCGAAUACCGAAGAAUGUUAUCACGGGAGACACACGGCGGGUGCUAACGUCCGUCGUGAAGAGGGAAACAACCCAGACCGCCAGCUAAGGUCCCAAAGUCAUGGUUAAGUGGGAAACGAUGUGGGAAGGCACAGACAGCCAGGAUGUUGGCUUAGAAGCAGCCAUCAUUUAAAGAAAGCGUAAUAGCUCACUGGUCGAGUCGGCCUGCGCGGAAGAUGUAACGGGGCUAAACCAUGCACCGAAGCUGCGGCAGCGACACUAUGUGUUGUUGGGUAGGGGAGCGUUCUGUAAGCCGUUGAAGGUGUACUGUGAGGUAUGCUGGAGGUAUCAGAAGUGCGAAUGCUGACAUAAGUAACGAUAAUGCGGGUGAAAAACCCGCACGCCGGAAGACCAAGGGUUCCUGUCCAACGUUAAUCGGGGCAGGGUGAGUCGACCCCUAAGGCGAGGCCGAAAGGCGUAGUCGAUGGGAAACAGGUUAAUAUUCCUGUACUUGGUGUUACUGCGAAGGGGGGACGGAGAAGGCUAUGUUAGCCGGGCGACGGUUGUCCCGGUUUAAGCAUGUAGGCGGAGGUUCCAGGUAAAUCCGGUACCUUUUUAACGCUGAGGUGUGAUGACGAGGCACUACGGUGCUGAAGUAACAAAUGCCCUGCUUCCAGGAAAAGCCUCUAAGCAUCAGGUAACACGAAAUCGUACCCCAAACCGACACAGGUGGUCAGGUAGAGAAUACCAAGGCGCUUGAGAGAACUCGGGUGAAGGAACUAGGCAAAAUGGUGCCGUAACUUCGGGAGAAGGCACGCUGAUAUGUAGGUGAAGCGGUUUACCCGUGGAGCUGAAAUCAGUCGAAGAUACCAGCUGGCUGCAACUGUUUAUUAAAAACACAGCACUGUGCAAACACGAAAGUGGACGUAUACGGUGUGACGCCUGCCCGGUGCCGGAAGGUUAAUUGAUGGGGUUAUCCGUAAGGAGAAGCUCUUGAUCGAAGCCCCGGUAAACGGCGGCCGUAACUAUAACGGUCCUAAGGUAGCGAAAUUCCUUGUCGGGUAAGUUCCGACCUGCACGAAUGGCGUAAUGAUGGCCGGGCUGUCUCCACCCGAGACUCAGUGAAAUUGAACUCGCUGUGAAGAUGCAGUGUACCCGCGGCAAGACGGAAAGACCCCGUGAACCUUUACUAUAGCUUGACACUGAACACUGGUCCUUGAUGUGUAGGAUAGGUGGGAGGCUUUGAAGUGUGGACGCCAGUCUGCAUGGAGCCAUCCUUGAAAUACCACCCUUUAAUGGCUGGUGUUCUAACGUGGACCCGUGAUCCGGGUUGCGGACAGUGUCUGGUGGGUAGUUUGACUGGGGCGGUCUCCUCCUAAAGAGUAACGGAGGAGCACGAAGGUUAGCUAAUCCUGGUCGGACAUCAGGAGGUUAGUGCAAAGGCAUAAGCUAGCUUGACUGCGAGAGUGACGGCUCGAGCAGGUGCGAAAGCAGGUCUUAGUGAUCCGGUGGUUCUGAAUGGAAGGGCCAUCGCUCAACGGAUAAAAGGUACUCCGGGGAUAACAGGCUGAUACCGCCCAAGAGUUCAUAUCGACGGCGGUGUUUGGCACCUCGAUGUCGGCUCAUCACAUCCUGGGGCUGAAGUAGGUCCCAAGGGUAUGGCUGUUCGCCAUUUAAAGUGGUACGCGAGCUGGGUUUAGAACGUCGUGAGACAGUUCGGUCCCUAUCUGCCGUGGGCGCUGGAGAAUUGAGGGGGGCUGCUCCUAGUACGAGAGGACCGGAGUGGACGCAUCACUGGUGUUCGGGUUGUCAUGCCAAUGGCAUUGCCCGGUAGCUAAAUGCGGAAGAGAUAAGUGCUGAAAGCAUCUAAGCACGAAACUUGCCCCGAGAUGAGUUCUCCCUGAGACUUUAAGUCUCCUGAAGGAACGUUGAAGACGACGACGUUGAUAGGUCGGGUGUGUAAGCGUAGCGAUACGUUGAGCUAACCGAUACUAAUGAACCGUGAGGCUUAACCUU